UCUAGAGUUUGGAUCAUGGCUCAGGACGAACGCUGGCGGCGUGCCUAAUACAUGCAAGUCGAGCGGACAGAAGGGAGCUUGCUCCCGGAUGUUAGCGGCGGACGGGUGAGUAACACGUGGGUAACCUGCCUGUAAGACUGGGAUAACUCCGGGAAACCGGAGCUAAUACCGGAUAGUUCCUUGAACCGCAUGGUUCAAGGAUGAAAGACGGUUUCGGCUGUCACUUACAGAUGGACCCGCGGCGCAUUAGCUAGUUGGUGGGGUAAUGGCUCACCAAGGCGACGAUGCGUAGCCGACCUGAGAGGGUGAUCGGCCACACUGGGACUGAGACACGGCCCAGACUCCUACGGGAGGCAGCAGUAGGGAAUCUUCCGCAAUGGACGAAAGUCUGACGGAGCAACGCCGCGUGAGUGAUGAAGGUUUUCGGAUCGUAAAGCUCUGUUGUUAGGGAAGAACAAGUGCGAGAGUAACUGCUCGCACCUUGACGGUACCUAACCAGAAAGCCACGGCUAACUACGUGCCAGCAGCCGCGGUAAUACGUAGGUGGCAAGCGUUGUCCGGAAUUAUUGGGCGUAAAGGGCUCGCAGGCGGUUUCUUAAGUCUGAUGUGAAAGCCCCCGGCUCAACCGGGGAGGGUCAUUGGAAACUGGGAAACUUGAGUGCAGAAGAGGAGAGUGGAAUUCCACGUGUAGCGGUGAAAUGCGUAGAGAUGUGGAGGAACACCAGUGGCGAAGGCGACUCUCUGGUCUGUAACUGACGCUGAGGAGCGAAAGCGUGGGGAGCGAACAGGAUUAGAUACCCUGGUAGUCCACGCCGUAAACGAUGAGUGCUAAGUGUUAGGGGGUUUCCGCCCCUUAGUGCUGCAGCUAACGCAUUAAGCACUCCGCCUGGGGAGUACGGUCGCAAGACUGAAACUCAAAGGAAUUGACGGGGGCCCGCACAAGCGGUGGAGCAUGUGGUUUAAUUCGAAGCAACGCGAAGAACCUUACCAGGUCUUGACAUCCUCUGACAACCCUAGAGAUAGGGCUUUCCCUUCGGGGACAGAGUGACAGGUGGUGCAUGGUUGUCGUCAGCUCGUGUCGUGAGAUGUUGGGUUAAGUCCCGCAACGAGCGCAACCCUUGAUCUUAGUUGCCAGCAUUCAGUUGGGCACUCUAAGGUGACUGCCGGUGACAAACCGGAGGAAGGUGGGGAUGACGUCAAAUCAUCAUGCCCCUUAUGACCUGGGCUACACACGUGCUACAAUGGACAGAACAAAGGGCUGCAAGACCGCAAGGUUUAGCCAAUCCCAUAAAUCUGUUCUCAGUUCGGAUCGCAGUCUGCAACUCGACUGCGUGAAGCUGGAAUCGCUAGUAAUCGCGGAUCAGCAUGCCGCGGUGGAAUACGUUUUCCCGGGCCUUGUACACACCGCCCCGUCACACCACGAAGAGUUUGCAACACCCGAAAGUCGGUGAGGUAACCUUUAUGGAGCCAGCCGCCGAAGGUGGGGCAGAUGAUUGGGGUGAAGUCGUACAGGGGGUA
Molecule: ribosomal RNA, 1518 nt
Filed under: bacterium OM-7
Lineage: Bacteria
Description: bacterial SSU rRNA
Rfam family: Bacterial small subunit ribosomal RNA
Source: RNAcentral